This 427-nucleotide ribosomal RNA is filed under the name Rheinheimera tilapiae. Its description in RNAcentral is "bacterial SSU rRNA". It matches the Rfam family "Bacterial small subunit ribosomal RNA", at positions 353 to 772 of the family's 1533-position model. Lineage: Bacteria; Pseudomonadati; Pseudomonadota; Gammaproteobacteria; Chromatiales; Chromatiaceae. The record is from RNAcentral.
AGUGGGGAAUAUUGGACAAUGGGCGCAAGCCUGAUCCAGCCAUGCCGCGUGUGUGAAGAAGGCCUUCGGGUUGUAAAGCACUUUCAGCGAGGAGGAAGGGUUAGUCGUUAAUAGCGGCUAAUUUUGACGUUACUCGCAGAAGAAGCACCGGCUAACUCUGUGCCAGCAGCCGCGGUAAUACAGAGGGUGCAAGCGUUAAUCGGAAUUACUGGGCGUAAAGCGCACGUAGGCGGUUUUUUAAGUCAGAUGUGAAAGCCCCGGGCUCAACCUGGGAAUUGCAUUUGAAACUGGGGAACUAGAGUGUGUGAGAGGGGGGUAGAAUUCCAAGUGUAGCGGUGAAAUGCGUAGAGAUUUGGAGGAAUACCAGUGGCGAAGGCGGCCCCCUGGCACAACACUGACGCUCAGGUGCGAAAGCGUGGGGAGCAAA